RNAcentral lists this ribosomal RNA (253 nucleotides) under uncultured bacterium. RNAcentral describes it as "partial 16S ribosomal RNA". It matches the Rfam family "Bacterial small subunit ribosomal RNA", at positions 524 to 776 of the family's 1533-position model. The record is from RNAcentral.
UACGGGGGGGGCAAGCGUUGUUCGGAAUUACUGGGCGUAAAGGGCGCGUAGGCGGCCUGCUAAGUUGGAUGUGAAAACUCUGGGCUCAACCCAGAGCCUGCAUUCAAUACUGACGGGCUAGAGUACUGGAGGGGAAAGCGGAAUUCCUGGUGUAGCGGUGAAAUGCGUAGAUAUCAGGAGGAACACCAAUGGCGAAGGCAGAUCUCUGGGCCGUAACUGACGCUGAGGAGCGAAAGCAUGGGGAGCGAACAGG